CAACGACAGUAGAUGAGUAGAACUCCAAAGAAAUAAGCUCACUUUUUAAGUAUUAUUAAAACUACCCGACAAUAGAACUCCAGUGCCCGGCAGUAGAACUCCACUAAACGACAAUAGAACUCCAACUAUUUUUAAAUUAUUUUCAUGGCCGACAGUAGAACUCCAUUGAAUUUUAAAUAUUUUAAAUGUCCGUCAAUAGAAUUCCAACGAUUUUAAAAUUACAUUCCUCUGUCAAUCAUAGCUGGCGGUUUAUUUUAGAAAGAGUUAUUAAAUAAAAACAGAAGCAGCUGUAGCCCCGCGUGAAGGUCAGCUACUCUACUUAGUUAACAUCAAUGACAAACGUGAACAAACGUGAAUAAAUGGUGAAAUUACUUAAUCGACCGCUAGAUGUCCUGAAUACUUAAUCGACCGCUAGAUGUCCUGAACUGGCAAUGCCUAUCAUGUUGCUGCCGGUAAUGCCUAAUGAGAUUGCCGCGUUAUUGAGUUAAUUCUCAAUUGGAUCUAUAUUCUUCUGGAGAAAUAAAAUCACAUAUUCCUAUAUGAGUGUAGACUGAAACUGUACAGUACCUGAUGUUGUUUCUUGCUAAAGUUGUUAUAAAGCAAGCAUGGUAUGCUACGUGAAAACCACAAGAAAAUUGUCUACCUUAAUAACCAUAUGCUGAAUGUUCCUUUUAAUCACAUCUUCCGCUGCAUAAUUGCAUCUUUGUAGCCUGACAGUUGUGGAAUCAUAUGCACAGUGCAGGUUCAUUCAUGCUGUGAAUGAUGAAUGCUUCUGUAUCAUGCAUAUUAGGGUGUACCUCCUACAGCAGAUGGAGGAUGUUUGGGAGGUAAAGUAAAGGGAAGAUAUUGACGACCCUACCUGACACUACAAAGCCAGAGCGUCAUGGUUGUUCUUCACUGCUGACCUGCAUAAACACCCAUCAAAAGUUCAUUCAUGCCGUUAAUGAUAGAUGCUUCUGUAUCAUGCAUAUUUCAGUGUGUGGAAGUAGUUGUGAAAUAUUAAGUACCAUACCCUGCACUUUCGCCUUACAUCAGGAAGAUUUUAUUAAGCAGCAACCUUCCUACAGCAGAUCGAGAUUGCAGAGAAGAAAUUGACGAUUCCAGCAAGAUUGUCUGAUUCAUCUUUGUACCGAUGUUUGGCGAGAAAAUUGACGACCCAACAAGAGCGAUACUGAGAGAGCGUCGUGGUUGUUCUUCAGAAGUGACCUGCAUCAACGCCUGUAAAAAAUUCUGGAAUCAGACUGAACGAGAUUUUGCUUCCGGAAGAAAAACUGCGAUAUCAGGGACCUACAGACUACAACACGUUCAACGCGGGUCAUCUAUUUCUGUUGUUGGUAAUAUGUUUUUGUUAGUUAAUCCGUUGGCUGCCACGCCUUUGUUCUCCCCUAGCUCCUUAGCACGGGCCGCGCUGUUCGGUCUCGUGGUUUACAUGC
Daphnia pulicaria is the source of this 1433-nucleotide long non-coding RNA. RefSeq lists it as uncharacterized. The transcript is spliced from 7 exons. Lineage: Eukaryota; Metazoa; Arthropoda; Branchiopoda; Diplostraca; Daphniidae. The record is from RefSeq and is a predicted model, not a curated record.